AUUGAACGCUGGCGGCAUGCCUUACACAUGCAAGUCGAACGGUAACGGGUCCUUCGGGAUGCUGACGAGUGGCGAACGGGUGAGUAAUAUAUCGGAACGUGCUCAGUAGUGGGGGAUGACUGCUCGAAAGAGCAGCUAAUACCGCAUACGACCUGAGGGUGAUAGGUGGGGAUUGCAAGACAUUCAGCUAUUGGUGCGGCCGAUCACAGAUGAGCUAGUUGGUGGGGUAACGGCCUGCCAAGGAAACGAUCUGUAGUUGGUCUGAGAGGACGACCGGCCACACUGGGAUGGAGACACGGCCCAGACCACUACGGGAGGCAGCAGUGGGGAAUGUUGGACAAUGGGCGCAAGCCUGAUCCAGCAAUGCCGCGUGCAGGAAGAAGGCCUUGGGGUUGGAAACUACUUUUGUCAUGGAAGAAAUCUUCUGGGCUAAUACCCCGGGAGGAUGACGGUACCUGAAGAAUAAGCACCGGCUAACUACGUGCCAGCAGCCGCCGUAA
RNAcentral lists this ribosomal RNA (500 nucleotides) under uncultured bacterium. Its description in RNAcentral is "partial 16S ribosomal RNA". It matches the Rfam family "Bacterial small subunit ribosomal RNA", at positions 30 to 523 of the family's 1533-position model. The record is from RNAcentral.